RNAcentral lists this ribosomal RNA (445 nucleotides) under uncultured bacterium. RNAcentral describes it as "bacterial SSU rRNA". It matches the Rfam family "Bacterial small subunit ribosomal RNA", at positions 330 to 792 of the family's 1533-position model. The record is from RNAcentral.
ACCAGACUCCUACGGGAGGCAGCAGUGGGGAAUAUUGCACAAUGGGGGGAACCCUGAUGCAGUGACGCCGCGUGGGCGAUGGAGUGCUUCGGCAUGUAAAGCCCUAUCAGCAGGGAAGAAAAUGACGGUACCUGAGUAAGAAGCCCCGGCUAACUACGUGCCAGCAGCCGCGGUAAUACGUAGGGGGCAAGCGUUAUCCGGAUUUACUGGGUGUAAAGGGAGCGUAGACGGCAGUGCAAGUCUGGAGUGAAAGGCGGGGGCUCAACCCCCGGACUGCUCUGGAAACUGUACGGCUGGAGUGCAGGAGAGGUAAGUGGAAUUCCUAGUGUAGCGGUGAAAUGCGUAGAUAUUAGGAGGAACACCAGUGGCGAAGGCGGCCUGCUGGACGAUGACUGACGUUGAGGCUCGAAAGCGUGGGGAGCAAACAGGAUUAGAUACCCCAGUA